UACGGAGGGGGCUAGCGUUGUUCGGAAUUACUGGGCGUAAAGCGCACGUAGGCGGCUUUGUAAGUUAGAGGUGAAAGCCCAGGGCUCAACCCUGGAAUUGCCUUUAAGACUGCAUCGCUAGAAUUGUGGAGAGGUAAGUGGAAUUCCGAGUGUAGAGGUGAAAGUUCGUAGAUAUUCGGAAGAAACACCAGUGGCGAAGGCGACUUACUGGACACAUAUUGACGCUGAGGUGCGAAAGCGUGGGGAGCAAACAGG
Molecule: ribosomal RNA, 255 nt
Filed under: uncultured bacterium
Lineage: Bacteria
Description: partial 16S ribosomal RNA
Rfam family: Bacterial small subunit ribosomal RNA
Source: RNAcentral